Sclerotinia sclerotiorum 1980 UF-70 is the source of this 113-nucleotide non-coding RNA. NCBI's taxonomy places the organism in Eukaryota, Fungi, Ascomycota, Leotiomycetes, Helotiales, Sclerotiniaceae. The record is from the annotation of a RefSeq genome assembly.
GCGUUUGUGGUUUAAUGGUAAAAUCCAUCGUUGCCAUCAGGGUCUCUUGUUCUCAUGUUCAAUAGAUAAUGAAUAAUGUCGAUGGGCUCCGGGUUCGAUUCCCGGCGAACGCA